Molecule: ribosomal RNA, 497 nt
Filed under: uncultured bacterium
Lineage: Bacteria
Description: partial 16S ribosomal RNA
Rfam family: Bacterial small subunit ribosomal RNA
Source: RNAcentral
GAUGAACGCUGGCGGCGUGCCUAAUACAUGCAAGUCGAGCGAACGGACGAGAAGCUUGCUUUUCUGAUGUUAGCGGCGGACGGGUGAGUAACACGUGGAUAACCUACCUAUAAGACUGGGAUAACUUCGGGAAACCGGAGCUAAUACCGGAUAAUAUUUUGAACCGCAUGGUUCAAAAGUGAAAGACGGUCUUGCUGUCACUUAUAGAUGGAUCCGCGCUGCAUUAGCUAGUUGGUAAGGUAACGGCUUACCAAGGCAACGAUGCAUAGCCGACCUGAGAGGGUGAUCGGCCAAACUGGAACUGAGACACGGUCCAGACUCCUACGGGAGGCAGCAGUAGGGAAUCUUCCGCAAUGGGCGAAAGCCUGACGGAGCAACGCCGCGUGAGUGAUGAAGGUCUUCGGAUCGUAAAACUCUGUUAUUAGGGAAGAACAUAUGUGUAAGUAACUGUGCACAUCUUGACGGUACCUAAUCAGAAAGCCACGGCCAACUACGUG